AUCCAGCUGACGAGUGCCAAAUAGAACAGAACGCGCGUCCUUGAU
Schistosoma haematobium is the source of this 45-nucleotide non-coding RNA. The record is from Rfam. Lineage: Eukaryota; Metazoa; Platyhelminthes; Trematoda; Strigeidida; Schistosomatidae.